UAGGGAAUAUUGGUCAAUGGGCGAGAGCCUGAACCAGCCAUGCCGCGUGCAGGAAGACGGCCUUCUGGGUUGUAAACUGCUUUUAUCAGGGAACAAAAAGCUCCUGCGGGGGAAAUUGCGUGUACCUGAAGAAUAAGCACCGGCUAACUCCGUGCCAGCAGCCGCGGUAAUACGGAGGGUGCAAGCGUUGUCCGGAUUUAUUGGGUUUAAAGGGUGCGUAGGUGGCCUUAUAAGUCAGUGGUGAAAUCCUUCAGCUUAACUGGAGAACUGCCAUUGAUACUGUGAGGCUUGAGUACAGACGAGGUAGGCGGAAUUUAUGGUGUAGCGGUGAAAUGCAUAGAUACCAUAAAGAACACCGAUAGCGAAGGCAGCUUACUAGGCUGUAACUGACACUGAGGCACGAAAGCGUGGGGAGCGAACAGGAUUAGAUACCCGUGUAGUCC
RNAcentral lists this ribosomal RNA (443 nucleotides) under uncultured prokaryote. Its description in RNAcentral is "bacterial SSU rRNA". It matches the Rfam family "Bacterial small subunit ribosomal RNA", at positions 355 to 796 of the family's 1533-position model. The record is from RNAcentral.